AUUGAACGCUGGCGGCAUGCUUUACACAUGCAAGUCGAGCGGCAGCGCGGGGGCAACCCUGGCGGCGAGCGGCGAACGGGUGAGUAAUGCAUCGGAACGUAUCCUCGAGUGGGGGAUAACCCAGCGAAAGUUGGGCUAAUACCGCAUGAGCUCUGAGGAGGAAAGCGGGGGACCUGCGAGGGCCUCGCGCUGGAGGAGCGGCCGAUGUCCGAUUAGCUAGUUGGUGGGGUAAAGGCUUACCAAGGCGACGAUCGGUAGCUGGUCUGAGAGGAUGAUCAGCCACACUGGGACUGAGACACGGCCCAGACUCCUACGGGAGGCAGCAGUGGGGAAUUUUGGACAAUGGGGGCAACCCUGAUCCAGCCAUGCCGCGUGAGUGAAGAAGGCCUUCGGGUUGUAAAGCCCUUUCGGACGGAACGAAAUGGGCGGGACUAAUACUCCUGUCUGAUGACGGUACCGUAAGAAGAAGCACCGGCUAACUACGUG
Molecule: ribosomal RNA, 486 nt
Filed under: uncultured bacterium
Lineage: Bacteria
Description: partial 16S ribosomal RNA
Rfam family: Bacterial small subunit ribosomal RNA
Source: RNAcentral